CACUAACAGUUAUUUCCACGCAUCCGACAAACUGACGCAUGUGAAAAAUACUGAUCCUAAUUCAAGGACUGUAGAUCACUUUUUAAUCUUAAUAAAACGAGCAAUUUCAAACUGCCGUUUUCUUUCCAAAAGCUGAGAAUGAAAUUGAAAUUAUAGAUCAAGCAAACAGAGGAUACAUAUAGUAGCUGUUGCUGCCAUUGACC
This 203-nucleotide long non-coding RNA is filed under the name Mytilus galloprovincialis (Mediterranean mussel). Lineage: Eukaryota; Metazoa; Mollusca; Bivalvia; Mytilida; Mytilidae. The record is from RNAcentral.